GAUGAACGCUGGCGGCGUGCCUAAUACAUGCAAGUCGAGCGCGAGAUUGAGGAGCUUGCUCCUCAUGAUCGAGCGGCGGACGGGUGAGUAACACGUAGGCAACCUACCCUUGAGAUUGGGAUAACUACCGGAAACGGUAGCUAAUACCGGAUACGACUUUUCCACAUAAGUGGAAUGGUUAAAAGGCGGAUUUAUCUGCCGCUCAUGGAUGGGCCUGCGGUGCAUUAGCUAGUUGGUGAGGUAGUGGCUCACCAAGGCGACGAUGCAUAGCCGACCUGAGAGGGUGAUCGGCCACACUGGGACUGAGACACGGCCCAGACUCCUACGGGAGGCAGCAGUAGGGAAUCUUCCGCAAUGGACGAAAGUCUGACGGAGCAACGCCGCGUGAGUGAUGAAGGGUUUCGGCUCGUAAAACUCUGUUGUUAAGGAAGAACACUUGAGGUAGUAACUGGCCUUGAGAUGACGGUACUUAACCAGAAAGCCACGGCUAACUACGUGCCAGCAGCCGCCGCAG
RNAcentral lists this ribosomal RNA (514 nucleotides) under uncultured bacterium. RNAcentral describes it as "partial 16S ribosomal RNA". It matches the Rfam family "Bacterial small subunit ribosomal RNA", at positions 28 to 523 of the family's 1533-position model. The record is from RNAcentral.